UUCUCUUGGUCUUUUUUUAAAAUUCAAGAUUGUCUUUAUGUAAUUGAACAAACUCGAUUACUUGAAUUAUAAUUUCUUUCUUUUAAUCCUAAUCUAUUUUUGGGAUUAGAUGAAACUCAAACUUCCAUACUUUCAUAUCCUAAAAAACCCACCAAGAAACCAUAGGAUCUACCUUGCAAUUCCAAGUCAAUUCGGAUUGUUUUGUGAAUGAUUCUAAGUGGUUUUGAUCCCAUUAAUUCUCCUACAGCGUGCUCAUGAAUGUGGAAACGACACCCGUUAGCCUGACAAGGAUUUGAUCCAGCCAGACAAUCUUCUAUUGAAGAUAAGUAAUAUAAUUGGGUUCGAGGAUGUUAGGAUGGCGACCCAAAGCUUGAAGUUGUUCGAUUUCAGCCAUGUAAGACGACCUAUUGUUCGUUAUGCCUUGAAUAAUAGCCUCCAUGAUCGAUCUAUGUCUAGCAUCGUCAAGCAUGUGAAGUUACAUCGAGUUUUUAAGCUAGAACAAAGUCAUAGUUGGCCUAUUAUUUGCCUUUGUUGAUUCGAAAAUGGAUGUGUAUAGAUGAAUAUGUGUAUGUAUUAUAUAUGAUUAAGUGAAAGAUUUGAGUGAAUUUUAGUUAA
Molecule: long non-coding RNA, 615 nt
Organism: Erigeron canadensis
Lineage: Eukaryota; Viridiplantae; Streptophyta; Magnoliopsida; Asterales; Asteraceae
Exons: 2
Source: RefSeq, a predicted model, not a curated record